RNAcentral lists this ribosomal RNA (356 nucleotides) under Oedura tryoni. Its description in RNAcentral is "partial 12S ribosomal RNA". It matches the Rfam family "Bacterial small subunit ribosomal RNA", at positions 799 to 1366 of the family's 1533-position model. Lineage: Eukaryota; Metazoa; Chordata; Lepidosauria; Squamata; Diplodactylidae. The record is from RNAcentral.
GUCAUAAACCUUGACAUUCCCACACAAUGUCCGCCAGAGCACUACAAGUGAAAAACUCAAAACUCAAAGGACUUGACGGUGUCCCACAUCAACCUAGAGGAGCCUGUCCUAUAAUCGAUACCCCACGAAACACCUUACCUCCCCUAGCACUUUCAGCCUAUAUACCGCCGUCGUCAGUCUACCUUAUAAAAGCAACUAAGUAGACAUAAUAGCCCCCCUCCCCAAAAACGUCAGGUCAAGGUGUAGCAUAUGAAGAGGAAAGAGAUGGGCUACAUUUUCUAAAAAGAACAAACUAUCAUCAUCCUGAAAAAAUGACCUACGGUGGAUUUAGCAGUAAGUAAAGUAAGACAGCUAAA